Molecule: long non-coding RNA, 19908 nt
Filed under: Medicago truncatula (barrel medic)
Lineage: Eukaryota; Viridiplantae; Streptophyta; Magnoliopsida; Fabales; Fabaceae
Description: long non-coding RNA (MTRU_LNC001513)
Source: RNAcentral
UUUGAGUUGUGUUCAAUCAUCACACCAGAAAAAUGGGAAGUGAGGAUCUGAGAUUGUUUGAAUUGAACACAGGAGCUAAGAUUCCAUCUGUUGGUUUAGGCACUUGGCUUGCUGCACCUGGUGUUGUCUAUGAUGCUAUAUCCACUGCUGUCAAUGUUUCUUUCUUUCUUUUUAAUUUUUCAUUCCAUUAUUUUAUUGCAUCAUGUUUUGUUUGUAUUAUUACAUCAUGUUUUGUUUUUAUUAUUACUAUUAUUGUAAAUUUAUGGUUUUGGAAUUAUUAUUAUUAUGUUCAUGCAGGUUGGUUAUCGUCAUAUAGAUUGUGCUCAAAUUUAUGGCAAUGAAAAGGAGGUCAGUUUUGUUUUUUUCUUUUCUUUCAAAUAAACAUAUAUGAUAUGAUGACAUGUGUUUAUGUUUAUGAUCAUCAUAUUUAUGUGUCACAAGAAUAAUUUUUAGAUUAACAUCGACCUCAUGUUGUUAAUGAGCUCCACCAAAGGACAAAUUGUUCGGGAUAACUCAAGUUCGAUUCCUGGUGAAACAAUUCUUGAUCAAACUUUAUUUACCUCCCGACCGAACUCCGGAUUAGUGGGUCCUUUUCCCCAAGAACCGGAGGGUUAACACCAAAAGAAAAGAAUAAUUUUAGAUUAAUUAAUUUUAUUGUUUUCAGAUUCAAGUAGGAGAUAAUCAGUAGUUGGACUCAAGUGGUUAAUUGGUUUCAGUUAAUUAAGGUAAGGUCAAUUGGCAGCACCCGAGUUUGAUCCCUGACUAGAACAAUUGUGGGUCAAAUAUUACUUGAAUUUAGAACUACUGAUCUUUCUUAUAGGAACCGGAGGAUUAAAGAAAAAUAAUUCAAGUACAAGAUGAAAAUAAUUGAAUGUAUUUGACAGAAAGGAUUUAGAGGAAGACCUAGGAAAACUAUUAGAGAAACCAUUAGAAAGGAUUUAGAGGUCAAUGAGUUGGAUCCAAAUUUGAUGUAUGAUAGAACACUAUGACGUCAUUUGAUCCAUGUAGCCGAUCCCACUUAGUGGGAUAAGGCUUGGUUGUUGUUGUUGUUGUAUUUGACAGAACUUCCCCUGCAUCUUGUGCUAGACAAGAGAAGCCAAGAACACUUUUUAGUUUGUUUUUGUCUCUUUGAUUUUAAUGAUGAAAAUUUAAAGCUUUUGCUGAAUUUAUGGUUGGCAGCUAGUCAGUUAUCUUACCUUUUUAGUCUGAAUUGAAUCCGGAAAUCGGAGUUUAAAACACUUAUGCUAGACCACGGUGGUUAGUUAUCUUACUUUGAUAGUGAACAAUGAUUAAAAAUAUGAAAUACAGUUUAAUAGUUUAUGAUUAAUUUUUUAAGAAACUUAGGAAUAUAAAUAAUUUGAACCUCUUGUAUACAGAACAAAGAAAAUAUAUUUUGUUUAUUACAACAACAACAACCAAUGUUAUCCCACUAAGUAGGGUCGGCUACAUGAAUCAAACGACGCCAUAGUGUUCUAUCCAAAACCAUAUUUUUAUCCAAAUACAGUCCUUAGUUGAAGAAGAUAGAAUGUGUCUUGACAUACUGUUUCUGCUUCGAUGAUGAUGAUCAUUGGUGAUGUUGGGAUAUCUGCAGACUGCAAAAACACUCUAAUGCCUUAAGUUAGCAAGAAGGUAUGAAGGUGCAAAGAGAAUAUGAUUAGAACCUUAAUAGGCUUGGUUGACUAGUAACAAUACCAUAAACCAAAUUGCAUAUUUGCAUAUGUAUAAAAGAAGCAAAAUCAGUAUAAACAUCUCCAUAACCACUUAUAACUUAUAAGGACUUUUUUUGGCAGUUAAGGAUCAAAUACCAUUGAGAAGGUCCAAUAAGUCAAAAUCUAAUCCGAACCGGGGUUUAAUUCAUCUGCCAAAGUUCAUUCAAGAGAGUAGUUCUGUUACAUUACACCAUCAUCUUUUUUCCCUUUUCUGGGGCUACUUGACGCUCUUUUUUUGUCUUUUUCUUUCUGAGCAAGCAUUCGGUAGAAUAAAGAGCUAACAAUUAACAAAUUUUAUGCCAUACUAUAGUUGCAAUUCAUUCAGUAUGUUGAUUGUAGAAUUUGAAUUUAUUUUGUUAGAUAUUUUAUAAUCAUUUUGUUUGUACACUGUUGUGGUAAUGUUUCUAUCUGUUAACAUUUUGUAAAUGUUAUGUAGAUUGGUGAUGCCUUGAAGAAGUUGUUUGCUAAUGGAGUAGUUAAGCGUGAAGAGAUGUGGAUCACGUCCAAGCUAUGGUUUGUCCUUUUAUUACUAACAGAGUUGUUAAGCGUAUAUUAUUGUUUAGAUGUUUGAACAAAUUUAUAAAAAGAAAUGACUUUUUCAACAGCAAAGUCUACAGACAACUGGGUUUUGUUUUAACUGCUGUUGAAAAUUUGUUCUUGAACAUGGUUAGAUAUAGUGUUAAUUGGGUUUAGUUCGUAUACAUUGUCCGUGUAGACUGUUAAUCAAAAGUAAUCAUCAAAUCAUAAAAAAGGUUUUACUUUAAUAGUAACUACUUCUUAAGUCACACAUAUGAUUGGUUGUGAUUUGUUGAUAGCGACACUGUAUCAAAAUUGAACUGUUAUCAAUUUUCUGCUCACGAUUGCAUUUUUAAGGUGUACUGAUCACUUGCCAGAAGACGUCCCAAAGGCAUUUGAUAGAACUUUACGCGAUCUGCAGCUGGACUAUCUUGAUCUCUACCUUGUAUGUAAAUGACAAAUUAAUUUCUUCCUACAUCAGAUCCUAUUAUGUUCGCAAGUUAUAGUGUCACUGAAGUUGUGUUCUUAAUUCUUAUUAUUAAAAAUUCCUUUUUCAUAUGUCUGUAUUCUACUAGAUUCACUGGCCAGUGAGCAUAAAAAAUGGACAUCUUACAAAACCUGACAUACCAAGCACAUGGAAAGCAAUGGAGGCACUCUAUGAUUCCGGAAAGGCUCGAGCUAUAGGAGUCAGCAAUUUCUCUGUAAAGAAGCUUCAGGAUCUGUUGGAUGUGGGACGUGUGCCUCCAGCCGUUAACCAAGUGGAAUUGCAUCCUCAAUUGCAGCAGCCAAAUUUACAUACUUUCUGUAAAUCCAAGGGAGUGCACUUAUCUGUGAGUAUGCAAAUUUUAUGUCUUGUAUGAUAAUUACUUUAGUUGCAUAUGUCUUAAUAUAAAGAACUUAAAAGGGAUUAUUCAUAUUAUCAUGGUUAUCAGUAUGAUACAUGCGAGCCAUAUCUCGGUUUGAUAUAAAAUUGAACCCAAUCAAUAUGAAUCUCCAGUAUGUAUCUGUUAGAACUAAUCACAUGGAAAACAUGCUCUUGUGAUUAGUUGCAAACAGGAUUGGAAUUAGGAAUCACAUUAAUUUGUAUUUUAGUAAAUUCAUUUUUAAUAGUCGUGUGUAGUUUGAUUAGACGCACAAAAAUUACAGAUAAUUACAUGGUAAGGCUCCUCUGCAUUUUUCUAGACUGCGUUCUUUUUAGUUCUUGCGCAUAUUUUGGUUUCCAUCUGUGCCAUAACCAGCUGACCCCCUUUUCCAGUGUGCGCCACCUCCAGAUCUGCACAUGAGAGUGUGUGCACCCACCUCCAGCUACCAGCACCAGCUGUUGCAAAAUGCCCUCUUGCGAAACAAUGCACGAGGAGAAGGGGGAUGACUUAGAAAUAAUCAAACCCGAACUUGUUGUAACUAUUGAAACAUCUUUAGCCGCCCAAUAUCAAACCGAAGUUAAUCAGCUUCAUCGCAAAGUUGUGAGUGUUGCUUAGGUCAACGCCUUUGACACAGCCAACAAGUUUCCCUUUCGUCUGCAUAGUAUAAUGAGUACCUCAAGGUCAAGGCACAAAAUCGAAUCACCACACAAGUUGCCAGCUGUCACUGUUGAUUAUAUCGGUAAUCCUGUUACCUUUGUUUCACAGUCCUCUUCAAUUGGACCUGGACCCUUGACUCAGGCACCUCUGAUCAUAUGUUUCGUAGCAAAUGGUUUUUCUCCGAUCGAACUUAUAUGACCACACUCCCUAGUGUUACUUUGGAAAAGGGAUCACAAUCCAAAUGUGAAGGCAUUGGCCAAACUAUCCCUUUACACACACUUACUUUGGACUCUGUGCUUUACGUUCCCGAUUGUCCAUGCAAUUUAAUAUCCGCACGUAAACUCACUCAUGCCCUACCUUACUCUGUUACUAGGAAGACAAUUAGAGCAGGGCAUGAGUCUCGCAACUUGUAUUACCUUUCGGCACCUACGCCGCCUAUUGCUUGUUCAGCCAUUGAAUCUCCACCUGUUGUUCACCAACAUUUGGGGCAUCCUAGCCUUGAAAAGUCGCAUCUUAUGGUUCCGAGUCUCUCAAAAGUGUCUACCUUAAAGUGUGAGUCAUAUCAGUUCGGAAAACAUACGAGGAAUUCCUUUUGCGAUAGAGUCAAUAAUCGUUUAUUGACUCUAGUCGUCCUGUUUCAUUCCAAUGAAUUACUAUCUGAACUUAAGCCACUUUUUGUUGUCAACUGUGUAGAAUUAAUCACUUUUGUUUCAUCAUUUGAUCUAUGACUUGAAUCUUAAACUAUAUUAAGGUUCGUCUAUGAUACAUCAACUUAUUAUAUAUUUGUAAUUGAUUUUUACUUAAAAAUAUCUUAUUGUUAUUAAUAAUGUAUUUUAUUAUUCAUAAUAAGUUUAUAUUCAAGUAAGGUCGAAUAGGAUCUUAUUUAAUAACAAAUGGAUAUAUGGCAGACAUUUUAUAGCUCCUUGAGUAAAACUUUAGAAAGUUUAUAUGAUUAUGAACAUCAAUUUUGAUGACUACUUAUCCCUAUCAAUGUUCUUAUUCAGGCUUAUUCACCACUAGGCAAAGGACUUGAGAGCAAUAUUCUUAAAAAUCCGGUUCUGCACACGACUGCUGAGAAAUUAGGGAAGACUCCGGCCCAAAUAGCCCUUCGAUGGGGACUACAAAUGGGUCACAGUGUACUUCCAAAGAGCACAAAUACAGCGAGGAUUAAAGAAAACAUUGAUAUAUUUGACUGGUCUAUACCAGAAGAUUUGCUAGCUAACUUCAAUGAAUUUCAGCAGGCACGUCAUUUCAUGCAAUCUUAUUGUCACUUUAUAUGGUUGAAUUCCAAAAAGAUGUUAAUUUAUAUUUCUUAUAGCAUUUUAAUUGAUACACAAGCAUGACAUUUUAAAAUCAGUCUAUGUGCAAAGGUCUAUAUACCAAUUAAAAAUGUUCUAGACUUAAAUGACUUUUCUAGUAUACAAAAAAUUUGUCUUUGUUGAUUGGUUCGUUGUUUGGUUUUAAUCCCUCAGUAAAUUUGAUUUGAUUAGAUUCAUGUUGAAUUAGUCCCUCAAUAAAAUUGAUGUCAUGGUUUGGGGACUAAAUCAAUAUAAUUCAGAUAUUACAAGAACUAAUUCAAAAUGGUUCAAAUAUUGCAAGGACUAUAAUCAAAACAACGAAGAUCAAAAUAAAAUAUUCCUAUUUUCAUGGAUUAGAACCAGCAAUAUUUCUUUUUAAGAGGACAAAAACCAAAAUAGAUGUAUAUUAUAGGAACUAACAAAUUAUUUAAGUCAUAGUUUCAUUUCAACUUUCUCAUUUACCGAUGCAGGAAAGAGUAGUUCCAGGCGAACAAUUUGUUAGUCAGACAUCUCCUGGUUACAAAACAAUUGCAGAACUCUGGGAUGAAGAGUAAGAAACAAGUUCCAUAUGGGCUACUGCUUUUCCACUGUUGAAUAAUCUGACUUUUUUGUGACUGUUGUAAUAAUAUAUAAUGUAUUCAUAAUAUGGGAAAUAGGAUGUGUUAUUGAGGAUUUGGUUUUGAUAUUCAAUAAGAGAAUUGUAAUUUAGGGUCUACAUGGAAACAACAUAUGACAUGUUUAUAAACUGUUUUCUGAAAUGUCAUCGAGUUUAUGGUUUAAACAUUUCCCUAAUAUGAUUCGCAAGUCUCAAAAGUCCCAACCAUCAAGCCAGCUUUAUGAAUUCCCAUAAUUACUUACAUAUAUUACCUAUAGUAUAAACCAAGUCUCGACAUCACCAAAGAAAUUCAAACCUAUAAUGUAUUGAACACUGGAGCUAAGAUUCCUUCUGUUGGUUUAGAGACAUGGCUUGCUACACCUGGUGUUGUCUACGAUGCAACAUCCACUGCUAUUAAUUUCCUAGCUUUCAACGGGUUAGAAUACUCUAAUGAACGAAAACCAUCACCGUUAGAAUCCUUCACAACAUGAGUAGCCUUGGAAAAGGGUAUUCAUGUUGUGAAGGAUUUUGAUGAUGACGGUUCUCAUUCAGUAGAGUAAUCGAACCCAGUUGCAUGAAUGAAAACUAUGAGGUAGUUUGUGAUUGUUGGGAAACCCAUGUUUUGUUUGUUUGUAUAGAAGUGUUAAAGGUGUUUUACUUGGUGGUGUUGAUCACUUGUUUAGAGAAAUGCCUUUUUUUUAGACUAUUACUUUUCUCACUUUGCCUUCUCGCACGCCCUGCAAAAUUUCCAAAAAUACCCCUGUAAUCCGGACCAGAUUGUUAGUGAUUUUCAGGAAAUUGAAUCCGGACCAGAUGUUAUGUGCUUUUCUGUGUCUUUCUUUAAUGUCAAGGGUCUCUGUUGACCAUUAUAUGAACCCCACACAAGCUGCAAUGCUAUUGCAGGGUUCAUAUGAACGGUUAACAAUGACCAUGACACCACUGACACCCCUAAAAAACUAAAAAUAUUUGAAGAAAAUGGAAGAAAAGAGGUGAAGUGAAGAAUGAAGGUAUUUGUUGAAGAUGGAAGCCUAUUUAUAGCCUAAAAUAAGUCCUAGGUCAUUACUAUAGUCAAUGAAAAUGUGUUAGUGAUUGUAACCGUCCAAACCCACAUUAAUGGCUCUCUUUCAAAAGAAUCCAAUGCUGAAACUUUCCGGAUUUUACAUUCCGGAACGCCCUUAGCCCUACAAGAAGUGUCAACUUUUCCCUCGUUCACCAUCAUCGCAUUAAUCCGUAAAAUAUAUUCCGGAAAACAUAUGUGCAUUCCAUAUUUUAUAUUCCGGAAUGCAUCAGUCAUGGUCGGUGGUCUGCACCACACGUUUUUGUCGGUGGUCAAGUAAAAAAAAACGCGUUUUACCACCAUUUUUGACUGCAUUUAUGGCAUCCCAACCGUUUUUGACCCACCCCUCCCUAUAAAUAGCCUUCCAAACCCCACCAUUUCUCACACUAUCCUCUCCCACCCUCUCCUCCUCUUCUUCCUUCUACAACCAUGGUUUACCAUCAUUGGCUUUCAUGGAUAAGGGCCUCGUUGAAAACUUUCAGGGUUUGUAUGAACGGUCAAUGAGGAUGGAACCGCGCUGCAACGAAGUGCGGUUCAUCUGAGAGUCAUGUGGGUCAGUGUGGUUCUUAGCUUGGCCUGUCUGGGCGUAAGUUUGAGCACCCCCCAUCUCCCUCAGGGGCAUUGUUCUCUUCUUCCCACCCUCCUCUUCCCUCCUCCUCCGGUUGCCCUCGAACAGAGAAACUACUGCUAAGUCCUAUCACAUAGCAGUGGUUAGGCUCUUAGGAGAUUAGAAAUAGAUUUAGGAUCUUAUGUAAUAAGCUUAAAAAGCUUGAAAAUUAUUGUAAUGUAUUGUUUAUAUAUUAAUAAAAUGAGUUGUUUUUAUGUUUGUGUCUUUUUAUUUAUGUUUUUUUAUUUUAUUUACGAAUUGCAAAAGUUCUGGUAAAACAUUAUUCCGUAUUUUAAAAUCUGGAAACAUCUGCAAAAUUCUAACAAUACAAUCCGGAAAAAGAAAUCCGGACUAGGGAUAAAAUUGAAAGAAAAAAAAAAUAAGGCGCGCGAGGAAAGGGUGGGAAAAGUAAAACUCGUUUUUUUUUUUUUUUUUUUUUUUUUUAAAUUUAUUUUUUAUGAUGCUUGCUUUAUCAGAAAGGAAGAAAGAAUUGGAGAAUCUAGUAGUAUUGGGGGUAUUGGGGGUAUUGGGGAGAAUCAGAUACCAAUUUCAAUCUAUGAGCCAACUAUUUGGGAUCAAAACAAAGGCAUAAACAUGUUAUGUUUGUUUGAGGUAUCAAUUCAAAUUCUCUUACCACCCAACUUAUUGUGUUGUUUACGAUGCAAUUUCCACUGUUGACAACGUUUGUUUCCGUGUUUAUCAUCAUCAUAUUUGUGUCACAAGAAUGAUUUUAGAUUAAUUAAUUAUAGUAAUAAUGUUUUGGAUAAGCCAUCAGAGGUUGGAAAAAGAUAAUAAAGAAAAAUUAUGUAGGAAUUAGAGUAAUAAUAUUUACUCUAAUUAGAAAUUAGAGUAAUUAUGUAGAAAUUAUGUAGAAUUUGGAAUACCAUUUUGGAUUUGAGAAGGGAGACAAGCUCAACUACUAUCUUACAAUUGAAAUGAGUUUCCUCAAUUAAGAAAAUAGAAUUGAAUACAUGAAUAUCAUGUUGCUGCUUUUCUUAUAUCUCUGCAGAUGUGGAGCCAUGAAAGGCUGCAAUGAAUGUGAAUAGUGUUGAAAAUAGUCCAAUACAAGACGUGAAACAGAAUUUUCAAUACUCAUUUUUGUUUCUUUUUCUGAGAUUUAAACAUCCGGAUAAAGAACUAUAAUUGAAGGUUAAAUGUGAGAGAACCGAACAGUAGUGUCUAUGAGAAGAAUAUUACAGCACUGAUUCUUUUAUAUUUCUGCAAGAUAUAGUGUCUAUGGGCAAUGUGCUCUGCUAGGGCUCAUGAUAGAUGUAGUGUUGCUGUUAAACUGAAAUUUUAAUAUUGCGUUAAAAUGCAGCUGAUGAGGCAGCAAUUGUGGGUGUGAUGCCGUUGCCGAGACAUGUAAAACUGAUAUGUUGCAGUUGUAAUUGCAGUUGCUGACUGUAAUUUAGAACAUGGUAAAUACGCAACAUUGCCAGGAGGGAGUGGAAUGGAUGCAUGUAAAAUGAGAACUAAAAUUUAUUGCACUCCUUUAUUAAGUCUUAAUCUGUAACAAACCACCGCAAAGAGUGUUCCUCAUAAUUUUAAAUAUGCCAAGCAUUCUGUUUUUGCACACGACUGCUGAGAAGUUAGGGAACACUCCGUCCCAAAUAGCCCUUCAAUGGGGACUACAAAUAUGGGUCACAGUGUACUUCGAAAGAGCACAAAUACAGCAAGGAUUAAAGAAAACAUUGAUAUAUUUGACAGGUCUAUAUUAGAUGAUUUGCUUUCCAUCAUCAAUGAGUUUGAGCAGGUAAGUCAUUUCAUGCAAUCUUAUGGUUUCUUUAUAUGUAUAUUAUAGGAAGUAACAAAUUAUUUAUGUCAUAGUUUCAUUUCGAACUUCUCAUUUAUCAACGCAGGUAAGAGUCAUUCCUCGAGAACAACUUGUUUGGUAUACAUCACCUGGUUAUAAAGCGGGAGCCUGGACGCAACGAUAAAGUUGUUGUCACAUGAGUGAUAGUUCACGGGUUCAAGUCUUGGAAACAACUUCUUGUAUAUAUACAGGGUAUGGUUGCGUACAAUACAUUAAAACAAUGAAACCCUUCCCGGACUCUGUGUAUGCAGGAGCAUUAGUGAACCGGACUGCCCUUUUUACAUCUCCCUCCUAGUUACAAAACAAUUGAAGAACUCUGUUAUGAAGAGUAAGAGGCAAGCUCCAUAUGGGCUACUGCGUUUUAACUUUUGAAUGAGCUGACUUUUUUUUAUAGUUGUAACAAUUUAGAAUGUAUUCAUAUGGGAAGUAAGAUGUGUUGUUGAGGAUUUGGUUUUGUGGUGACAGAUUUGGGAUUUAGGGAAUGUUAACUUAUUUGAGCUUAUCUACUGAUAUAAACACUUUAUGAGAGUAUUUUACAAAAAAAAAAAAAAACUAGCUUAGAUGAUCAUAGGGCAGUUAUAAUGAUUAUGCAUCAUUACGACAAGCCAACUAAGUGUUUCAAAUCCUUUAAGUUAAUGAUAACUUCUUGAUUCACUCGAAAAACGUUUAGUCCAACAUGCUUAAUCAAAUCAAAAUGUCAAAUAAUCAAACUUCUUUGACAUACAACAUUGGGGGAGCUGUCACACUCAAAUUUCAAUUAUAUUUCGAGCAAGAAUGUCAAGUAGAAGCAGUUCAAAAGCGAAGAAGUGUCAAAGAAGUCAAGAAAACCAUUAAGAUAACGACCAUUAUUGUUCGAAGAAUUAAAAACGCUACAAACUCCAAAAAUUGUCAUAUGAAGAUUGUUCAAGAAUUUUCAAGAUCAGCAAUGCCAAUUAUUCAUUACAAAGUAGCAAAGAUUCAAAUUCAAAGGGAAGAAACUUUCAAAAGCAGUUCUUGAGAGUUACAAGACACAUGACACGGAAGCAAUUUAGUAAUUAGUUUAUAUUUUUUUUUUCCAUAAACUUUAAAUUUAAACUUCAUGCAAAAGAGUUCAUUUCCAUUUGACAAAACUACACCUCCUGGAAAAUACAUCCACCAUCACAGGAUAACACUCCUACUAAAAUAUUGAAAGAACGAUGUAUGAAACUCAAAUAGAAUAGAACUCAUUUUCCUUUUCGCACACUUUUGCGCUUAUCUUUUUUCCUUUUUGGAUUGAAACAUUUUCCAAUCAACAAUGAAUCUGUAAAGGUACUUUCCAAAUUAAAUUGAUUCUUGUUUUUAAAAAGCAAAUGUACUUUCCUUUAAUUAUAGUAUUUUUACACUCAUGCUCUAUAUUUUUUUCGUUGUUUUUGUUUUCCAUUUGAUGAAGUGAAUGAGUGUACAUAUUUCACUCUUGAUAGUUACCUGAUUAAGACAUUAAUUUUUUCUUUGCAAUUUAAAAUUUUUUCAACACUUGCAACGACCAAAAUAGAAAACACAAACAAAUGCUAAAAAAAAAAUGUGAGCCUUCCCUUGUGGGAGAUAAUAUAGUGGUAAAAUAUCCUUUUCUAAGCUUUGUUCAUGCUCAAUAUGAUUUUAUUUGUCAUAUUGAAUACUUUUCCAUAUGUAUUGCAUCAACAUAUAAUGUAUAUAUUGAGUCUAAUAUCGGAAAAGAACUCGGUUAGAAUUUGAUAGUAUUGUGAAUGGUAUGGUCCAUUAUAACUCUAUAUAUAAGAUAUAAUAUGUACUAUCAAUGACCAUACCAUCAAUGAUAAUUGAAAUUUACUAUCAUGUUAUAACACAAGACAAUUUCCCUCUAUUAAUUAUGAUAUAUAAAGCCUAUGUUGACAUUAAACAUUAAGAAAAUUAUUCAAAAGACAGAUAAAUUCUCUGAGUUUGAAUAAAUCGUAAUAUCUCGCCUCUAAAGUUGUCUUCUCUAAUAAGAUAGGAGGCUCGCAUUUCUCGUGAGCAUUGAUUUUCAUUCUCUAUUUUGGUCGCUGAAAGUGCUGCAUACAUGUCAAAUUAUUAAGAACAAAGUAAUGUCUUAAUUAGGCAAACAGAAGUAACAAGAACACUAUUCACUAUAUCAAAAGGAAAACUAAAAUGCAAGAGGGAUAAAACACGAAUGUAAAUAGACUAUAAAUGCAAACAAGGUCAUUUGUUUCUUAAAAACAAAGUUAAGUUAAUUUUGAAACAUGAAAGUGAAAAUGAUGAAGGUAAAAAAGAGAGUCGUACUUUUAUAAGCACAUUUACUUUUGAUACAAAAAGAUGUAGGCAUUUAAUAGUUCCAUUGGAAAAAUAAAACGUAUAAGAACUACAUGAGAUGAACAGGUGAUAGAGGAAAUUUUUUGGAGUUAGGGUAGCUCAAUUGAUAAGGAGUUGCAUCUUAUGGAUUCAAACCGGAACAAAGGAGUAAAUAUUAAUCUAACUAGGCAACAUUCACGUAAGGAUACAAUAGAGUAUUAGAACAAGUUAUAGAAAAAUGCCAAAAACUAGAGGAAUCAAUUGUCCGCAAAUGGAACUGAGAAGUGAAAAUCACUUGAUAGAAAAGCAAAGAAAAUCUAAGAAAUGAAGACAUGCGAUGCGAGUACCUGACAAAGAAGAAGAUCAAAGCCCUUAUAACCAGAAAAGAUGAUUCAAACAAUUCUUGUUCAAAUAAGUUAUUGCAAACUGAAACAAAACUAACGAUUUAUAAAUGUUGAUCACAUCAACAUCAAACAAAUUUAACCAAAUGCAGAAAUAGAGUAUAGACAAAUCAAUAAAAAGAUAUCUUCACUUAAUUUGUUUUAUCAAAUAAUCAAUAAAAAUAGAGUAUAGACAAAUCUAAACAAAAGAUUGAUCAAAAAUAAUUUUAUCAGAGAUCAGAGAUAUGCAUUGAAAACCAUACCUUCAAAGAAAAGAAAUUUCAAUUUGUCAUCGUAUCUAAAAAUAAAAAGAGGAUGAGGAAAUGGAAAGAGCUCUUGUUUGGUUCCUCCUUUUCACCAUUUUCAAAUGCCCUUCUAAAACUCUGUUUGAACCUCUUUUUAUUGCCAAUUUUUCAACAUUGGAUGCUUUUGUUGUGCAAGCAUAUGCAGUGUAAUGGUCCUUGUGUGGCUAAGAAUGGCAAAAUUAAAAACUAACCAAAAGUUAAAUUGGCUUGCAUCAAAAAAUAGCAAUGUUGCCUUUUUUUCUUCAUGUAUUUUAUGAUUUUUUAUGAAAGUACUCUACAACUUUUUUUAGGUAGCGCUACGAUUGACAACAUAGGUUAAGAUGGGUAUUGGAAUAAAUUUUAAACUUAGAAUUAUGAUUUUGACAUGAUCAAUGAGGAUAAGUUGCUGUGGAAAAAGCCGGCAGGUAUAAAUGUAAUAUAUAUUGAUGCAUAAUUUUUUUCGUUGCUUAACAAAGUAGGAUUGGAAAUGUGCAUCAGGAAUGAUGCUAGUGAAUUUGUGCGGGCUAAAACGGAUUGGUUUGCUCCCCUGUGUGAUGUUGAUGUAGGGAAAGCCAUUGGUUUACACACAACUCUGCAAUGGGUCUCGGACCUUCAAUUCGACAACGUAGACUUUGCUCUGGAUUCUAAAAAAGUUGUUGAUCAUGUUAAUUCUGAUAUAGAUGAUAAUAGUGAGUUUGGUUGUAUAAUUUCUGCUUGUAGACAAUUGUUACAAAAUAGAUUUCAGAACUCUCAUGUCGAUUUCAAUAAGAGGUAAGUAAAUGGGGUCGCUCACGAGUUAGCUCAGACAGCCCUGCUAACUCCUAGAUCCCAUAUUUCAAUAGAUGAUGCUCCUUCAUGUAUUUGACACAUUUUAGCUAUUGAAAUGCAAUGUAUUUCUUCUUUCAAAAAAAAUUAUUGACAUGUCAAUCCUUUUAUAAAAAGAGUUAAUGUCAAUAUUGAGGGACAUAUUAUUUUAAUACUUAUGACUAUUUUGAUUAAUAAAGUGCACAAUAGAAAAAAAUAUCUUGAAAUUCCGAUACAUUGAGAAACCAUUUUGGCCACUUGUUAUACAUUCAGAAACAAAAUGAUUAUUAUCCCUUUAUUUUAUAUAAUUUUUUUAGGGAAAUCCCUUUAUUUUAUAUCAAAAAAUGACUUUAAUUUUAUAUUUUGAAAAAAUAAUUUUAAUGAGUAAGUUCUCGUUUAAACUAUUUUUUCCCUCAAAAAAGAUAAUUUUAAUGCAAACUUAUUAAAAAUAGUUGAAACUAUUUCCGACCCACUUAAAACAUAUAUGCCUCUGAAAUUCAGAUAUAUAUAUAUAUAUAUAUAUAUAUAUAUAUAUAAAAGAAAAAUAUAAUAUAUCAAAUUGUUGUAAAGUUUGAUCGUAAAACAAGAAGUGACUACUUGUUUGAUGUGGCAAAAUGGAUUUUAGAUCUUGGAUAGACUCUAAUACCAGCUUAUAAUUAUCAUUUUGAUGUUCCCGAUUGCAUUCUUUAGGUGCACUGAUCACUUACCAGAGGAUGUCCCUAAGGCAUUUGAUAGAUCUUUACGGGAUUUGCCGUUGAACUAUUUAUAUCUCUACCUUGUGUGUAAAUGAAAAUGAAAUUGAACUUCUUCCUAUAUCAAAUCCGAUUAUGUCUUUAAUUAAGAAUUCCUUUGUCAAGUUCUUUUAUUAAGAAUUCCUUUGUGAUAUGUCUAUAUUCUUCUAUAUUCACAGGCCAGGAAGCAUGAAAUAUUUGUCAUAUUGGAGCAUGGAUUGGGCGGCAAAUUAUCUACUGAAAUAUUUCCUAGCUAAUUUGCCACUAUUAUUUCUAAACUCCUAGCUAAUCCCAACUAAUAUGUAGCCAAAUCAUGGUUAAAAGUUUGUUUCGUAACCAAUUGGCUAUGCUAUAGUCGCAAACAAAUCAAAGUAAAUCUCUAGCUAAAGUUCCUAGCUAUUUCGAUGUUCUUGAUUAUUAUUUUGCCAUUGACACCCAAGUGUUCUCUUCGGAUCCUCUUAUGCAGUCCACAACCUUCACAUCCUCCACUUUCUUCCACAUUGAGAAUACCAUGACAGUUGAAUUAUGCAGUGUAGCUUUAUGCACUUUACUAUUUCAAUCCUGCUGAUCGUCUAUGCAACAUUGCAAACCUGUUCAACCAUGACAUGUAUUGAUAAAUAAAUAUAUUAUGAAUAUUAAAGCAUCACAUCCAAGCUGAUUCUUCCUAGUUCUAACAAACCAUAGGUUCCAGCAUCAAAAGAUCAAUUUAUAACCAUAACUUACAUACUUUUCUUUGAGAGGAACAAGACACAUACUUGUACGGAGUGCAAUGCGUCACCUCAUGCAUCUACGCACGAGUGUCAUAAUAGAGAGAUUAUUUAAAUUUAACACUUUAGCAACCUAUCCUAAAAAAGCAUCUAUGAUAUUUUGUGUACACACAUGUAUCCAAUUUUGAAAUUUUAUACAUAUACUAUAUUUUUACUUAUAUAUCAUUACGGAGACUUACUCUUGUAUAAUUUAUAUUCAACAAUUAUAACAUUGGACAUGACAUGUAGUAACAAGAAAGAAGGUUCCUUUUCUAUUGAAAUUUUUGUGUAGUCGACAAUGAUGUUACUCGGUUUAGAUCGAUGGUGGCAUUUAGGUUGGGAAAGCAUAAAACUAUCCCAGCAUUGGAUGCCUCUGUGUGCAAUGUUGUUGCAGAAAAAUCGGAGACCAAAUAGUGCAAACAUGUGCAGGCUAGUUGUGCUUGAGUAGGUAAAAAUUACAAAAUGAAAAAAACUACCCAAAAGUUAAAUUGGCUUGUAUAAAAAAAUAGCAAAAGUAGAGUGAAUUAACAAAUUUUCCCAUUUUUCUUUAUUUUUUGUAAAUUAUUAUUUUUAAUAUAAAUGUUAGGAGUGAGUAAAAUUAAUAGGCUUAGUGAUUUAAACCUUUUUUUUAGUCCGAAGAUGAAGUGGAACACACAAUAUGAAACUCACACACACAACUCGGUCCCGAAUUCGAACCUGAGAUGAUGUUCAGCCUACCAUAUCAGCAUUGUUUGUUGAGUUAGGUAUUAUGGCUGAUUUAACCUUCUUUAUUAUUGAUAAAAAAAAAAAAAAAAAACCACUACCAAAGGAAAAUAAUUUAUUUUGCAAUGGUAGUGCUAUGAUUGACAACAUAGGUUAAUUUGGGUAUUUGAAUAGCAUUUUGAAGUUAGCAUUGACAUGAUCAAACAUGAUAAGUUUCUCACAAUGACCUUUUUAUUUUGAUCUUUAAAUUAUUAGGUAAAUUUAGUGCAUUGGUAAAUCACUUAAAUGUGUUGAGUCAAUAUAGAAAAGAAGCUAUUUUGAUUAUGAAAAUUCAAGCUCAAUAACUCCAAGAUUGUUAUUACAAAUGUACUUUCAAUUUUUGUUAAACCUAUAAGAUUGUAAAAAAAUUAACCCAACAAGUAAAAAUAGAGAUAAAGCUGAAAACUUCAAUGCUUGAGCAGCGAAAGAAAUUUACCGCCACAUUCGAAUUGGUUUCCGCUCCCAUAUCUGAAUUUAGCAGCUCCAUUGGCAAUCUUGAAACCGAAAUUAGUCAAUUACCGUUGAGAAGAGGCAUUGAAUAAGACUAAACAAAGCCUUGUAAAGAGAUUAUGCCUGAUCAAAAACAGGGAAAAUGUAAUCUGUAAACUGGAUUGCAGCUAUGGCUCGAUUUCGUUGCUUUGUAAAACAUAUAAGCCUUUUAAAUUCAGAUAUAUAAAGAAAAAUAUAUUAGACUCAUCAUAUUAGAUCAAUUCCGAGAAAUACUCUUCCUCUCCCUCUCCAACAAGCCGGCCCUAAUUUUCUCUCUCUAGGUUUUUUCUUCCGGUUUCUUCAUUGGGGGUGGUUUUGGGUCAAUUCUUGAUCUGAAAUCACCUCUCUUCAUCUUUUUAUCUGUAUUUCAAUCUAAAUAAGUGACUUUUACAUAGAUCCAUGUUUUUUUUCUUUGUGAUUUCAUCAUCUAAGUGUGGUGGUUUGUUGUUCGUCGUCUUGUGCGGCGUUGUUUGCUUUCCUGUCUUCUUGCAGUGUUCAUUUUAUUCCUAUUGAAAGAUCGAUUAUUCAAUCAAAGGUUUGGGCGUCAACGUUGCAGAUCCGGAGGCCAUGGAUAUUCCGGUGACUUUAAUUUUAUCAUAUAUUUUUGUAGGUAUUAUGCCGUUAUAUGCUAUUAACUUGGAUGCUAUGAGUUUGUUCACAGAUUCAUCCUUCACAUUUUUAACGGUGUUGAAUGAUGUAACCUCUCAAUUUAAAUGAAUGAAUAUCAUUUUGUUUUUAAAAAAAAACCCAAAUCAAUUUCUAUAUUAAAUAUGAUAUAUACAUACUAUGUUGACAUUGAACAUCCAAAUAAUUAUCAAAAUGACAUAUAAAUUACCAUUGAGUUUGAAUAAAUCUUAAAAGAAAUUAUAGAAUGUCUUGCCUCUAAAGUUGUCUUCUCUAUCAUGAUAGGAGGCUCACUUUUCAAGAGCAUUUGUUUUUGUUCUCUAUUUUGGUUGCCGAAAGUGCUAUUGAGAUUGAACAAUUCUUAAACAAAGUAAUGUCUUAGUUAGGCAACCGUAAAGCUUUGUUUGAGAGUUAAAAGGGAAGAGAGAGGAGGGAGGGGAGGGUUUUGGAGAGAUGAGAUUAGAGAAAAAAAAAUAGAGAAAUCUUUAAAAUUAUUUGAAAAAGUAUUUUUGUAGUGGAUGAUAAAUUAAUGCUUGAUUAAUGUAUUUUUAAUUUUGCAAGUAUUAUAACAAUAUAGACCGGAUUUGAAAAAUUUAUUCAAACCUUCGGAACCCCUCCUCCAAUACAAUUCUUUUGUUUCCACAAAAUAGGGGGAUUUUAUAUUACGAAGAAAAUUAAACCCCUGAAAGUCCUCCCUCCCAAAGCUCUCCAUUCUUUCCACUUCUUCCCUCCUUUAUUUCCAAACCCUCCCCUCCCCUUCAAACUUUCAAUCAGAGUCGUGCGUUUGAUUUGCUAAAAAAUGAAGGACAGGAUAGAACAACUUUUGUUGUCCAGUGUUUGAUUUGUAAAACUGUUUCAGGUACUGGACAAACGGGAGGCAAUUGACAGGACAAAAACUCAUAAUUUUGUCCCUCGCCAAACCACAACACAACUUUUUAAAGCCAAAAUCCAAUAGGGAUAAAGCAAUAAUGUAAACAUGCUAUAAUUCAAACAAGGUCAUUUGUUUUUUUAAAACAUAGUUAAGUUAAUUUUGAAACAUGAAAGUGAAAAUAAUGAAUGUAAAAAAGAGAGAAGUACUUUUACAUACACAUUUAUUAUAGAUACAAAAAAUGUACAAAUGAAUCAACACAUCCGAAUAUCAAUUAUUCAUUACUUGAAAAAUACCUCAAAUUUAGAUCAGAAUUAAUAUGUUGAUGCAAAUUAUAAAACCAUAAACAGUUUAUAUAGUGUGGAAAAUAAUUUACUAAAACAACAUUCAAAAUGCAAAAUAACAAACUCACUUGGAUUUGUCUGGUGGUAUUAACUUAACUUUGAGAAAUUAUGAAGUAUGUUUCUCUUCAAAGUCUCAGGUUCGAUUCUUUCCAAUACCAAUUUGAAUGAGCUAGUUUAGCUUCUUAAAAAAAAAAUCAAAAUAACAGUCUCUCUUUCAACAAAACAAUACUCUAAUAGAGUAGUACCCAACUGAAUGGUUUGUGCUUCCAGCAUGGUAGCUGAAAAAAGAUGAAGUGGUGAUUUCAUCGACUAAAAAAUGACAUAUUUAAUCAACAACAAGGAACAUAUUUAAGAGGUUGAAUAAAAAGAUAAGCUAGACAUAAUUUGUCCACUAGCAUUUUGUUUUUGUUGGUAAAGUAGCAAUAUUAAUUAUGUUCGCUCUCAAGUUGUGGUGUUGGUCUUGCAUCAGUCCAAGAUACAAACAAUCCAAGUAAAUACUUAAUUCAACUAUAAACUAUAAAUCUUACUACCAAAUCAAUCUAAGAGAUACUAUAUGUCAACUAUUUGAAGUAGUUGAGUGAUUAGUUUCCUUUACCUCAAGGUAAACAACUCAACUUUGGUUUUUCAUUCUUUUUUAAUAUUUGCUGCAAACAAUAAAAAAUAUACAAAUGCAUUUAAUAGUUCCAUUGGAAAAAUAAAACGUAUAAGAACUACACCCUCCACUCACUAUUAUAGCAAAAAACAACAUUUUAGAUUCAUUUAAUGAUGUAUUUGAUCUUUAUUAUAGACUACAUACAUCAUUAAAUGAAUGAAUUCAAAAUGUUGAUUUUUGCUUAUAAUAGUGACCGGAGGAUGUAGUUCAACGAAUAUUAGAACAAGUUAUAGAAAAAUGCCAUAAAUUUAGAGGAAUCAAAUGCUUGAAAAUGGAAUAAUGUGAGCAUAAAAACAAAGAAAGAAAAAUGAAAAGAGGAUGAGAAAAUUGAAAGAAAUCUAUGUUUGAAUCUCUUUUAAUGCCAAAUCUUCUGCUCUUUCAACAUUGGAUGCCUUUGUGGUACAAGCAUGUGCAGUGUAAUGGUCCUUGUGUGGUUAGGAAUUGCAAAACAAAAAACUACCGAAAAGUUAAAUUGGCUUGCAUAAAAAAAUAGCAAAGAAGCCUUUUUUAUUUUUUAUUUUAUGAUUUAUAAUGUAAACGUUAAGAGCCACCCAAAUUAAUGAUCUUUGUGAUUUAACCUCCAUUAUCUUGAUGAAAUUACAUCACAACAUGCAUAAGCAAGAGAGACGCCACACUCUUACCCAAAAUCUUAAGAUAAUGGAUUUAUGAGUCCUCUUACUUAUAAGAUAUUCAACCUUUACUAUUUUAUCGGAUGUGAGACAUAUAACUCACAUUUGCAAACUAACAUUUAUUUGAACUUUUAAAUAUUAGGUGAUUAAGUUAUUUUCGAAUCAGUCCUAUCUAAAAAGAGUUAAUGUCAAUUUUGAAGGACAAACUAUAUUAACGUCUGGAUUAUUUUGACUAAUAAAGUUUACAAAAUGACUAUUAUCCCUUUAUUUUAUUUUAAAAAAUGACUUUAAUUUUAUAUUAAAAAAUAAUAAUGCGUAAGUUCUGAAAAGUUGAAAUAUUUUUAAGUAAAAAAAUAAUGAAUAAAAAGUUGGAAUAUUUUAAUUUUGAAAAUUUUGGAAGGACUACAAUCAAAACAAUGAGGAUCAAAAUAAAAUAUGCCUAUUUUCAUGGAUUGAAACCAGCAAUAAUUCUUUUGAAGAGGAGUAAAACCAAAAUAGAUGUAUAUUAUAGGAACUAACAAAUUAUGUAAGCCAUAGUCUUAUUUACCGAUGCAAGAAAGAGUAUUUCUUGGAGAACUAUUUGUUGUUAGUCAGAUACUGACAUGUGUCGAAUAUCGCACACGUUAUUGGUUAAAAAUGUUGGUGCUGCAUUGAUUUAAACAAAGUUUUCAUGAUAUUUGAGUUAAGUAUUUAUUUAUCAACUCCAACAAACAACUUGGCAUUUUAUAUUUAGAAAAAAAUAAUAAUAAUAGAAUCCAUGAACUUGCAUACUUGAAUUGACUUUCUUUGUCUCUACCUCUGGUCUGGGUCUGAGGUUGAAUUCUGUUCAAUCAUCACAACAGAAAAAUGGAAAGUGAGGAACUGAGAUUCUUUGAGUUAAACACAGGAGCUAAGAUUCCAUCUGUUGGUUUAGGCACUUGGCUUGCUGAACCUGGUGUUGUCUAUGAUGCUAUUUCCACUGCUGUCAAUGUUUCUUUCUUUCUAAUUUUUCAAUCCAUUCUUUUCUUUGUAUUAUUACUAUUAUUAUUGUAAAUUUAUGAAAUGAUUUAUUAUAUUAUGGUUUUGGAAUUGUUAUUAUGUUAAUGUAGGUUGGAUAUCGUCAUAUAGAUUGUGCUCAAUAUUAUGGCAAUGAAAAGGAGGUGAGGUGUUAUGUAUCAUUAGUCCUAUCAAUGUCAAUAUCGUGUCUGAUGUCCGUGUUUGUGUCCAUGCUUCAUAGAAUACAUCUGUCCAUCAUGUUUU